This 442-nucleotide ribosomal RNA is filed under the name uncultured bacterium. Its description in RNAcentral is "bacterial SSU rRNA". It matches the Rfam family "Bacterial small subunit ribosomal RNA", at positions 29 to 526 of the family's 1533-position model. The record is from RNAcentral.
AACGAACGCUGGCGGCAGGCUUAACACAUGCAAGUCGAACGAUAUAGUGGCAGACGGGUGAGUAACGCGUGGGAACGUGCCUUUCACUACGGAAUAGCUCUUGGAAACGAGUGGUAAUACCGUAUACGCCCUCCGGGGGAAAGAUUUAUCGGUGAAAGAUCGGCCCGCGUUAGAUUAGCUUGAUGGUGGGGUAAUGGCCUACCAUGGCGACGAUCUAUAGCUGGUCUGAGAGGAUGAUCAGCCACACUGGGACUGAGACACGGCCCAGACUCCUACGGGAGGCAGCAGUGGGGAAUCUUGCACAAUGGGCGAAAGCCUGAUGCAGCCAUGCCGCGUGAAUGAUGAAGGCCUUAGGGUUGUAAAAUUCUUUCAACGGUGACGAUAAUGACGGUAGCCGUAGAAGAAGCCCCGGCUAACUUCGUGCCAGCCGCCGCGGUAACAC